CUACGGGAUGCUCCAGGCGAGAAAACUUUGCAAUGUGCGAAAGCACGACAAGGUUAAUCCGAGUGGUUUCUGCUAAAGGAACCUUUUGUCAGUCCUAGAAACACUGAUGAAUAAGGGGUGGGCAAGUUCUGGUGUCAGCCGCCGCGGUAAAACCAGCACCUCAAGUGGUCAGGAUGAUUAUUGGGCCUAAAGCAUCCGUAGCCGGCUCUGUAAGUUUUCGGUUAAAUCUGUACGCUCAACGUACAGGCUGCCGGGAAUACUGCAGAGCUAGGGAGUGGGAGAGGUAGACGGUACUCGGUAGGAAGGGGUAAAAUCCUUUGAUCUAUUGAUGACCACCUGUGGCGAAGGCGGUCUACCAGAACACGUCCGACGGUGAGGGAUGAAAGCUGGGGGAGCAAACCGGAUUAGAUACCCUGGUACUC
This 422-nucleotide ribosomal RNA is filed under the name uncultured archaeon. Its description in RNAcentral is "partial 16S ribosomal RNA". It matches the Rfam family "Archaeal small subunit ribosomal RNA", at positions 323 to 746 of the family's 1478-position model. The record is from RNAcentral.